RNAcentral lists this long non-coding RNA (1489 nucleotides) under Homo sapiens (human). Its description in RNAcentral is "HSALNT0018255". Lineage: Eukaryota; Metazoa; Chordata; Mammalia; Primates; Hominidae. The record is from RNAcentral.
GCCACUGCCAUGUAAGAAGUGCCUUUCACCACCCCCACACCCUGCCAUGACUCUGAGGCCUCCCCAGCCACGUGGAACUGAGGCAGCUGUAUGGAGGCCAAUAUGCAGACAAGGGAAGUAACUCAGGCAUUUUGGGGGAGAGGUACAGAAAGAAGAGAAAAGACUGAACUGACUGCUGUUCUGAACAAGAACUGUGACUAUAUGUGGUACUCCCAGAAUGGUGGUUUCCUUUCAGACCCAUCAAGUGGCCAUCCUAUUGGCUUGGACUGAAGACCCCCACUGGAGAACUGUCUCUGCAGCCUAUACUGAUGACACUGGCCACUGUCCAGGGCUCCACCCCAAGGAGUCCAAGCCCCAGACAUUUAGCCUUAGAGAGAAUCCAGAUUUUGCAUUUCCAGUGCAGGGAUUGAUGGAGCCUUGUGUAUCAAAGUGCCAAUUUCUUUCUAACAAGCUAGGGAGGAUACCGUUGACAGCAGCAGAAAGGGGUAGCAGUGGUUUGCUUUCCAAAUGGUAAUAAGAAGGGCCUGGCAGUGGCAACCUGUCCACGUAUCAUUAAAAAUGGACUCUCCUGCUUCGUUUGGAAUUCAACCCAAUGAACUUGAAUAAACUCUGGACAAUGACCAGCACAGAGCCCUAAGCAGGAUACAGCAAGAUUAUUUGCUUUACUCAUCCACUGAGUACCUACCAUGUGCCAAAUACUAUGCUAUAUGCCGAGUAUACACUGGCAAAUAAAACAGAUAUGGUCCCUGGAGCCUAUGAAUCUUACCCCAUCUAGCCACAAAUAAUAAAAAUAAGAAGAAUCUGAAGGACAAGUGGGACAGAAAUACUCAAGCAGAAUGAGGGUGAGAUUGAAGUCCCUGAACAUACAGUGCCCUUUACACUUGAUCUUAGCCAAAAGGCCGAGAAGAGAUUACAGUGCUUUUUAAAGGUAGCAUUUCACCCAGCCAAUAAUCAAUCCCUUUGGCCUUCUUGAGGUGCAAGGCCACACACUCAAAUUCUUUAAUCAAACAAUAGGCUAGUGCAAAUGGAGCUAUUUCUUAAACCCAGCUGUUUACACAGCAGCUACAAAUCUGUUCAGAAGGAAUCCCCCACCAUCCACAACUGUCUAUCGAGCAGAUGUGCAAGAGUAUUUGUCUCUCACCACCAGGGUUGCAGUCAGGACAAGAGAGCAGGUUUGAACGUCUUCGGCUCCUAGAACUGCACAAGCUGUGUCUUCAGUGCCCAGAGGCGGCUGCAACGUCUCCCCAGUUCUCCUCUCAGAACAAUGGAAAUUUUUUUUAGAGGCGUAAUAGGAAGGUUUGCAUUGAAUUAUUAAACAAUGGGUAUUGAAAAAUAUGUUUUCUUUGACCUCUGUACUUCUAGCUUUUACCAGUCAGUGUUUUCUUGUACCAAGGCUAAGAUAUGUAUAACACUGAAAUGGAUGUCUUCUUAUAUAAUAUUUUACAAGCUUUUGAAAACCUGUGCCCUUUAAUAAAUUUUAAAACGUUUC